This is a long non-coding RNA of Oncorhynchus keta (chum salmon), 1349 nucleotides long. RefSeq lists it as uncharacterized. The record is from RefSeq and is a predicted model, not a curated record. The transcript has 2 exons. NCBI's taxonomy places the organism in Eukaryota, Metazoa, Chordata, Actinopteri, Salmoniformes, Salmonidae.
UGGUCCCACAUCAGUUAGUCUCCUCGCCUGGUCCCAGAACAGUUAGUCUCCUCGCCUGGUCCCAGAUCAGUUAGUCUCCUAGCCUGGUCCCACAUCAGUUAGUCUCCUAGCCUGGUCCCACAUCAGUUAGUCUCCUAGCCUGUUCCCACAUCAGUUAGUCUCCUCGCCUGGUCCCACAUCAGUUAGUCUCCUAGCCUGGUCCCAGAUCAGUUAGUCUCCUAGCCUGGUCCCACAUCAGUAAGUCUCCUAGCCUGGUCCCACAUCCCACAUCAGUUGGUCUCCUAGCCUGGUCCCAGAUCAGUUAGUCUCCUAGCCUGGUCCCACAUCAGUUAGUCUCCUAGCCUGGUCCCACAUCAGUUAGUCUCCUAGCCUGUUCCCAGAUCAGUUAGUCUCCUAGCCUGGUCCCACAUCAGUUAGUCUCCUAGCCUGGUCCCAGAUCAGUUAGUCUCCUAGCCUGGUCCCAGAUCAGUUAGUCUCCUCGCCUGGUCCCAGAUCAGUUAGUCUCCUAGCCUGGUCCCAGAUCAGUUAGUCUCCUAGCCUGGUCCCAGAUCAGUUAGUCUCCUAGCCUGGUCCCAGAUCAGUUAGUCUCCUAGCCUGGUCCCAGAUCAGUUAGUCUCCUAGCCUGGUCCCAGAUCAGUUAGUCUCCUAGCCUGGUCCCAGAUCAGUUAGUCUCCUAGCCUGGUCCCAGAUCAGUUAGUCUCCUAGCCUGGUCCCAGAUCAGUUAGUCUCCUAGCCUGGUCCUACAUCAGUUAGUCUCCUAGCCUGGUCCCACAUCAGUUAGUCUCCUAGCCUGGUCCCAGAUCAGUUAGUCUCCUAGCCUGGUCCCAGAUCAAUCAGUCUCCUAGCCUGGUCCCACAUCAAGUUUGUGCUGUCUUGACAUGGAAGCCGGAACUAUGGGACAAUAAACAUUUAUUGCCUGGGUAAACCAGACUGAAUGUUUCAAACAAUGUCGAUCAGCGUUCCAGUAUGGUUUAACCAGGCGAUAAUCCACCUCUGGGAGAAGAUAUUACUUUAAUAAUAAUAGGCUUUUCAGUCAGAAUUUAUCAGCAGUUUUUUUUGGUUACUGUAUUUUUAUUCAUAGGAAGAACACUUGUAUUUUACAUUAACUGAAUUACCAAAUAACCUUGUCCAUUUUCCACGUGUUUAUAUUGAUGCUUGUAUACAAUAUGUACAGCACCGUAUGGGAGAAACAAAACAGUGAAUGAGGAAGUCCGAGGUCAUUUGAGAAGAGAACAUGAUAUUUUAAAUCAGAUGGAUUUCACAGUUACCUGUCCUUGUAAAACUUGUCGAUAUGAUGCGAACAUGUACAGCUGGCGAGGAAGUUGUAAUAAAUAUUGUAUAAAACUAAA